GANANNACAACAGGGUUUGCCNUCAGUAACGGCGAGUGAAGCGGCAAAAGCUCAUCUUUAAAAGCUUCGNCUUUGUAACGGUGGCGGAGGGGGUGGAUCGCAAAAGUCCAUUGGAACAUGGCGCCAUCGAGGGUGACAGCCCCGUCAAGAUACGCCCCCACCCCUCCACCAAUAGAGUCGAGUUGUUUGGGAAUGCAACUCUAACAAGGUGGUAAACUCCAUCUAAGGCUAAAUAUCGACGAGAGACCGAUAGCGAACAAGUACAGUGAUGGAAAGAUGAAAAGCACUUUGAAAAGAGAGUGAAACAGUACGUGAAAUUGUUG
This 323-nucleotide ribosomal RNA is filed under the name Metschnikowia bicuspidata. RNAcentral's name for it is "partial large subunit ribosomal RNA". It matches the Rfam family "Eukaryotic large subunit ribosomal RNA", at positions 56 to 410 of the family's 3401-position model. Lineage: Eukaryota; Fungi; Ascomycota; Pichiomycetes; Serinales; Metschnikowiaceae. The record is from RNAcentral.